CCUACGUGGGGCUGCAGUGGGGAAUAUUGGACAAUGGGCGAAAGCCUGAUCCAGCCAUGCCGCGUGUGUGAAGAAGGCCUUCGGGUUGUAAAGCACUUUCAGUGGGGAAGAAAGCCUUGGGGCUAAUACCCUCGAGGAAGGACAUCACCCACAGAAGAAGCACCGGCUAACUCCGUGCCAGCAGCCGCGGUAAUACGGAGGGUGCGAGCGUUAAUCGGAAUUACUGGGCGUAAAGCGCGCGUAGGCGGUCUGAUAAGCCGGUUGUGAAAGCCCCGGGCUCGACCUGGGAACGGCAUCCGGAACUGUCAGGCUAGAGUGCAGGAGAGGAAGGUAGAAUUCCCGGUGUAGCGGUGAAAUGCGUAGAGAUCGGGAGGAAUACCAGUGGCGAAGGCGGCCUUCUGGUCUGACACUGACGCUGAGGUGCGAAAGCGUGGGUAGCAAACAGGAUUAGAUACCCUAGUAGUC
RNAcentral lists this ribosomal RNA (465 nucleotides) under Vreelandella stevensii. Its description in RNAcentral is "partial 16S ribosomal RNA". It matches the Rfam family "Bacterial small subunit ribosomal RNA", at positions 338 to 795 of the family's 1533-position model. Lineage: Bacteria; Pseudomonadati; Pseudomonadota; Gammaproteobacteria; Oceanospirillales; Halomonadaceae. The record is from RNAcentral.